Molecule: ribosomal RNA, 250 nt
Filed under: uncultured bacterium
Lineage: Bacteria
Description: partial 16S ribosomal RNA
Rfam family: Bacterial small subunit ribosomal RNA
Source: RNAcentral
UACGGAGGGUGCAAGCGUUGUUCGGAAUUAUUGGGCGUAAAGCGUGCGUAGGCGGAUCGUUAAGUCUGAUGUGAAAUCCCUCGGCUCAACCGAGGACGUGCAUUGGAUACUGGCGAUCUUGAGUCCCGGAGAGGGUAGCGGAAUUCCUAGUGUAGAGGUGAAAUUCGUAGAUAUUAGGAGGAACACCAGUGGCGAAAGCGGCUACCUGGACGGUGACUGACGCUGAGGCACGAAAGCAUAGGUAGCAAAC